AAUUGAUAAUUGGUCACAUGUUGACAGAAAAUCCAGAAGAAGACACAUACAAAAUUUGCGCGAGUUGCUAUUAUGCUAUGUCAAUGCUUUCAAUAUUUGGAAGCCAGUUUUAGCCCACUAGCAUUCUAGCAACAAUGGACCAUUGCUUUGUAUUGUACGUAAUAUGGCACCUGUCUAUUCUUGCUUUGCUGGUAAUAGCUGCAGAUCAAGUAAAUCUAGCAGGGAAGUGUGAGAGAUAUAUCUUUACGCAUUAUGACAAGGAAUGAUGCACAAGCUAUACCUUUUUUUAUCCAGCUUUUUGUUGUGUCUUACAGUAGGGAAAGGACACAACUGCACCAAGAAAACAUCUUUCAAUGAAGAAUGCUCCAUAAGGUAUGACUUGGUAACAGGACUUGCGAAAGCGGUUUUCGAUGAAAUGAACUGCGAGACUUGGUACAAUAAACAGUUCUGUAUUUGCAAUAGUGAUUUAACUAUCUGGUACUUCAACUCACCUCCAUACGUGUUUACGUUGCCAAAUGGAACUCUGGAUGGCAUUCUUCCAGCAAUGUUAAAGCUGGCUUUGAAAGCAUGUUGCAAGAACUGCACACGCCUGUUUUAUCAGAAACCAUUCAAAUCGAUGGUGGAGCUGUCGAAACAAUUUUACAAUGUUUCAUAUUACCAAGUGUUAAUGCCAGCGAUCGGCAUCAAAGAAGCAAGAUACUACUUUAGCAAUCCGUAUGUGAGAUUGAUUAAUAGUCCUGGAGUGGCAUUUAUCUAUCCUGAUAACAUUGGGGAUGUCGUCAUGAACAGGCUUCUCAAGUCUCUAUAUGAAGCAUGGCCCCUGUUUGCACUCAUUUUGCUGUUGACUAUUCAAGGAGGAGUCAUCAUAUGGUUGCUGGAUACAAGAAAAAACCCCGACGAGUUCCCACAAUCCUUCAUUCGGGGAUCUCUUGAAGGAAGCUGGUGGGCAUACAUCUCCAUGACAACUGUCGGGUACGGUGAUAAGUCUCCGCGUUCUUUUGGAGGCAGAGUCUUUGCUGUAUUCUGGAUAACAACAGGAAUUGUUAUAUCAGGGAUUUUUACAGCUUCUAUUUCCUCGACUCUUACCUCAGCAGCUAUUGGCGAAACAACGAAAAUAAAUGGCAAAACUGUUGGAUUUCUGAGGCAUGUUGCAAUCGGGUACGAAGAGAACAUAAUAUAUAGAGACGGUGCAAACGCAAUAGGGUAUCGGAACAUAUCUCACUUGAUAAAUGCUUUGAAAAACGAAUCAAUCCAAGGUAUCCUGAUAGAUAGAUACACUUUAAGAUACUACUGGAAACACUUCGCAAAUUCUGGUAUCAAACUAAUAAUAAAGAAAGAUAUCAAGAACACGGACACUGGCUUUGGAUUGACAUUUUCUAGCAAGAGAUAUGAGGACUGGGCACAUUUUUUGCGAACAUUUAUCGAAGAAAACAAAGAUGCCGAAAGUCGCCUUCUUAAGAUGCAAUCAGUGAGAUGGCAUGGAAGCUGCCAGAGGAAUCUACAGACGAUACGGAUGUCACAAACAAUGCACUUGGGUCAACCUCAGUAUAUCAAAAAAUGUUGGUAGCCAUGGCUAUUUCUUGCAGUAUAACUGUGGGGAUAGGCCUAAUAAGUACAGCAGGACAUAGGCUAUACAAAUCAAAGAAAAGUGUACCAAUAUCAGUGAAAGAUCGUGAAAUGUCGGUGUUUAGCAACGGUACAAUAUCAGCAAGGUUUGAUGAAUUCUCAAAGGAAGUGGAGAGCAACGUCCUUGAAAAUCUUAGAAACGAAAUUGACAAACUUCGAGAGGAUUUUGUAAAGAGAUACAAAGAUACUAAAUCUUGAAAAUUUUAAGCAUACUAUACACAUUCUCACCAGAAAUUUAUAGUAAUUGCGACUAAACAUAAACAACAUUUGAUCUCGCGCUUCAAACCCAAGAAGUAUUUUUCACAACCUGAUCAUCAAUAGUGGCUUAUUGAAUCAAAGGGCCUACAAAAGUCAUGUUGUCAAUCUGAAACUUAAUUACCGCUCUCCUUCACUACUUUAUUCAUCAAUAACAAUUCAUAUUACCAAUAUUUGGGAGUUGAUAAAUGAGAAACCAGGCUGUUCAUUCUAGAAUGUCAAUUUGAAGGCAGAAGCCCCAGAUUCACAUCAGCUAUUAGUUGCCAAAACCCUGACCUGUGCCAACAAAUCAAAUCUUGUUUACUUGCUUAUCAGAUUGAGCAUUUGCUGAUGCUAAAAAGUAGAAUAAUCUAUGCACAAAAACAAUGCUUUGCUUUUUAAAGAUUAGAGAAAUGAAUUAAUAAACCACGUGCUACACAAGGCACUUACCAUUUAGUCUUGUUUAUCGUUACUGUCUUUGCUACUGAAUCUUGAAUGAAAAUCAUAAGACACAGCAAUUGCUUCCUCCCUCAAUUUUUGUCUCCUUUUAUUCUCUGCUGACUUUUUCUUGUCCCGCUGCAUUCUCUGCCCAACACUACUGUCUUCUCCCUUUAUCAUAUACUCAAGCUUUUCAAACAAGAUCUUUCUGGCAAUCUUUCUGUUCUCUAAAAGUGAUCUUGUCUGAUGACACUAGCAAGCAAAAUGAGUCAAAUUUCAGUCUUUUUUAUGAAGGAUUAGGAUUCUGUAAUUAUUUACAAAUGAAAAAAUUGCUUUGAAAGAAAACAAAAAUUUCACAACACGCUAAGAGCUUUUUUAUCUAACACUCUACAGAGUAUAAAAUGCCAGAAUAAAGGUCUGAAAGAAGACAAUGAAAAAUAUAUACCCAUAAUGGAUCAAAAUAGGCUAAUCACAAAAAUGCAAGCACAUGACCAGCAUAAUUGUCCAAUAAGUGCCAGGUGCAUACAGAAAAAAUAACCAUUGGAGCACAAGAGAGAAAACAAACUUUUUCUGUCUACACAAUAGACGCUUGUUCGUUUGUAUGUAGAUCAAUUCCAAAACUAUUAGAAAAGGACCACUGGACUCUGGCAAUUACCUGAAAAAUGUCAUCAUUAUAGAGUUUUGCACAAUCCAGGUUGUCUAAAAGGCGUUGUCUGAUGGCAGAGUCACUAGUUUUUACUGUGUUUUUAGAUCUACAAGGUCAAGGAGGCUGUUCUCUUUGAGCGACAGUUUUGUUUCUUAUGUUGCAUUGGAAGGAACAUGUUGUUUUAUCCAAUCCCCCCAAGAUUCAAGAUAAUUUUUUCCAAAAUAUAGUAACAAAGGAAGAUGGCAUGUGUCUAUUACUGAAUUUGGCAGGAUUCCUGUGAUUUUCACACCUAUAGAAACUUUAGAAAAAUCA
Non-coding RNA from Rhopilema esculentum, 3256 nucleotides. Lineage: Eukaryota; Metazoa; Cnidaria; Scyphozoa; Rhizostomeae; Rhizostomatidae. The record is from RefSeq and is a predicted model, not a curated record.